RNAcentral lists this ribosomal RNA (870 nucleotides) under Escherichia coli. RNAcentral's name for it is "partial 23S ribosomal RNA". It matches the Rfam family "Bacterial large subunit ribosomal RNA", at positions 1937 to 2806 of the family's 2925-position model. Lineage: Bacteria; Pseudomonadati; Pseudomonadota; Gammaproteobacteria; Enterobacterales; Enterobacteriaceae. The record is from RNAcentral.
UAACUAUAACGGUCCUAAGGUAGCGAAAUUCCUUGUCGGGUAAGUUCCGACCUGCACGAAUGGCGUAAUGAUGGCCAGGCUGUCUCCACCCGAGACUCAGUGAAAUUGAACUCGCUGUGAAGAUGCAGUGUACCCGCGGCAAGACGGAAAGACCCCGUGAACCUUUACUAUAGCUUGACACUGAACAUUGAGCCUUGAUGUGUAGGAUAGGUGGGAGGCUUUGAAGUGUGGACGCCAGUCUGCAUGGAGCCGACCUUGAAAUACCACCCUUUAAUGUUUGAUGUUCUAACGUUGGCCCGUAAUCCGGGUUGCGGACAGUGUCUGGUGGGUAGUUUGACUGGGGCGGUCUCCUCCUAAAGAGUAACGGAGGAGCACGAAGGUUGGCUAAUCCUGGUCGGACAUCAGGAGGUUAGUGCAAUGGCAUAAGCCAGCUUGACUGCGAGCGUGACGGCGCGAGCAGGUGCGAAAGCAGGUCAUAGUGAUCCGGUGGUUCUGAAUGGAAGGGCCAUCGCUCAACGGAUAAAAGGUACUCCGGGGAUAACAGGCUGAUACCGCCCAAGAGUUCAUAUCGACGGCGGUGUUUGGCACCUCGAUGUCGGCUCAUCACAUCCUGGGGCUGAAGUAGGUCCCAAGGGUAUGGCUGUUCGCCAUUUAAAGUGGUACGCGAGCUGGGUUUAGAACGUCGUGAGACAGUUCGGUCCCUAUCUGCCGUGGGCGCUGGAGAACUGAGGGGGGCUGCUCCUAGUACGAGAGGACCGGAGUGGACGCAUCACUGGUGUUCGGGUUGUCAUGCCAAUGGCACUGCCCGGUAGCUAAAUGCGGAAGAGAUAAGUGCUGAAAGCAUCUAAGCACGAAACUUGCCCCGAGAUG